RNAcentral lists this transfer RNA (69 nucleotides) under Enterococcus faecium. RNAcentral describes it as "tRNA-Pro". It matches the Rfam family "tRNA". From Rfam's summary of the family: Transfer RNA (tRNA) molecules are approximately 80 nucleotides in length. Their secondary structure includes four short double-helical elements and three loops (D, anti-codon, and T loops). RNAcentral also lists the same sequence under 2 other names. The record is from RNAcentral. Lineage: Bacteria; Bacillati; Bacillota; Bacilli; Lactobacillales; Enterococcaceae.
GGAAGUAGCUCAGCUUGGUAGAGCACUUGGUUUGGGACCAAGGGGUCGCAGGUUCGAAUCCUGUCUUCC